Non-coding RNA from Stegodyphus mimosarum, 73 nucleotides. The record is from Rfam. NCBI's taxonomy places the organism in Eukaryota, Metazoa, Arthropoda, Arachnida, Araneae, Eresidae.
GCCUUCGUGGUGUAGUGGUCAGCAUGCUCGACGCGUAACCGAGAGGUCCGUGGUUCGAUUCCCGGCGAAGGCA